RNAcentral lists this ribosomal RNA (497 nucleotides) under uncultured bacterium. RNAcentral's name for it is "partial 16S ribosomal RNA". It matches the Rfam family "Bacterial small subunit ribosomal RNA", at positions 28 to 507 of the family's 1533-position model. The record is from RNAcentral.
GACGAACGCUGGCGGCGUGCCUAAUACAUGCAAGUAGAACGCUGAAGAGAGGAGCUUACUCUUCUUGGAUGAGUUGCGAACGGGUGAGUAACGCGUAGGUAACCCGCCUUGUAGCGGGGGAUAACUAUUGGAAACGAUAGCUAAUACCGCAUAACAAUGGAUGACACAUGUCAUUUAUUUGAAAGGGGCAAUUGCUCCACUACAAGAUGGACCUGCGUUGUAUUAGCUAGUAGGUGAGGUAAUGGCUCACCUAGGCGACGAUACAUAGCCGACCUGAGAGGGUGAUCGGCCACACUGGGACUGAGACACGGCCCAGACUCCUACGGGAGGCAGCAGUAGGGAAUCUUCGGCAAUGGGGGCAACCCUGACCGAGCAACGCCGCGGGAGUGAAGAAGGGUUUCGGAUCGUAAAGCUCUGUUGUAAGUCAAGAACGGGUGUGAGAGUGGAAAGUUCACACUGUGACGGUAGCUUACCAGAAAGGGACGGCUAACUACGUG